RNAcentral lists this non-coding RNA (93 nucleotides) under uncultured Butyricicoccus sp. Its description in RNAcentral is "SAM riboswitch (S box leader)". It matches the Rfam family "SAM riboswitch aptamer (S box leader)". From Rfam's summary of the family: The SAM riboswitch is found upstream of a number of genes which code for proteins involved in methionine or cysteine biosynthesis in Gram-positive bacteria. The SAM riboswitch acts at the level of transcription termination control. The record is from RNAcentral. Lineage: Bacteria; Bacillati; Bacillota; Clostridia; Eubacteriales; Butyricicoccaceae.
CUUAUCAAGAGCGGUGGAGGGAUCGGCCCAAUGAAACCCGGCAACCUGCGUGUGCGCAAGGUGCCAAAUCCGGCGGUAGUACGUAAAGAUGAG